ACCUCUAAAGCAUGUAUAGUAGCAGAUGGUGUCGCUGGUGGCUGGGCAACAGAAGCCUUGGGCUUGUCGAUGUUGGAAUGCUGCUGCUGAAAAGAUCUUCCAGGGUUGGAGCUGAAAGUGUGUUGUUGAUGACAUCCCUGUACUUCUCUUUCGGCUUUAAGAGCAAGAUGAUAUAAUUGGUUGAACCUGUUCCUUCCAAUCUUUGUAAUCAAGAAUAUCCUAUAUAUCAUGAUUCAAACCACCAAAGAAUCUAGCACAAGUAUCUUCAUCAUCC
This 274-nucleotide long non-coding RNA is filed under the name Setaria viridis. Its description in RNAcentral is "long non-coding RNA (SVIR_LNC000301)". The record is from RNAcentral. Lineage: Eukaryota; Viridiplantae; Streptophyta; Magnoliopsida; Poales; Poaceae.